RNAcentral lists this ribosomal RNA (352 nucleotides) under Klebsiella aerogenes. RNAcentral's name for it is "bacterial SSU rRNA". It matches the Rfam family "Bacterial small subunit ribosomal RNA", at positions 637 to 988 of the family's 1533-position model. The record is from RNAcentral. Lineage: Bacteria; Pseudomonadati; Pseudomonadota; Gammaproteobacteria; Enterobacterales; Enterobacteriaceae.
CAGGCUAGAGUCUUGUAGAGGGGGGUAGAAUUCCAGGUGUAGCGGUGAAAUGCGUAGAGAUCUGGAGGAAUACCGGUGGCGAAGGCGGCCCCCUGGACAAAGACUGACGCUCAGGUGCGAAAGCGUGGGGAGCAAACAGGAUUAGAUACCCUGGUAGUCCACGCCGUAAACGAUGUCGACUUGGAGGUUGUGCCCUUGAGGCGUGGCUUCCGGAGCUAACGCGUUAAGUCGACCGCCUGGGGAGUACGGCCGCAAGGUUAAAACUCAAAUGAAUUGACGGGGGCCCGCACAAGCGGUGGAGCAUGUGGUUUAAUUCGAUGCAACGUGAAGAACCUUACCUACUCUUGACAUC